AUUGAACGCUAGCGGGAUGCUUUACACAUGCAAGUCGAACGGCAGCGCGGACUUCGGUCUGGCGGCGAGUGGCGAACGGGUGAGUAAUGUAUCGGAACGUGCCCAGUAGCGGGGGAUAACUACGCGAAAGCGUAGCUAAUACCGCAUACGCCCUACGGGGGAAAGCAGGGGAUCGUAAGACCUUGGCCUAUUGGAGCGGCCGAUAUCUGAUUAACUAGUUGGUGAGGUAACGGCUCACCAAGGAGACCAUCCGUAGCUGGUUUGCAGGGACGGCCAGCCAAACUGGGACUGAGACACACCCCAGACACCUACGGGAGGCAGCAGGGGGAAAUUUUGGACAAUGUGAUCAACCCUGAGCCAGCCAGCCGGCGGAGGCGAUGAAGGCCUUCGGGUUGUAAAGCACUGUAGGCAGGAAAGAAACGUCGCGGGCUAAUACCCCGUGGAGCUGACGGUACCUGCAGAAUAAGCACCGGCUAACUACGU
Molecule: ribosomal RNA, 483 nt
Filed under: uncultured bacterium
Lineage: Bacteria
Description: partial 16S ribosomal RNA
Rfam family: Bacterial small subunit ribosomal RNA
Source: RNAcentral